CCUACGGGGGGCUGCAGUGGGGAAUAUUGGACAAUGGGCGAAAGCCUGAUCCAGCCAUGCCGCGUGUGUGAAGAAGGCCUUCGGGUUGUAAAGCACUUUCAGUGGGGAAGAAAGCCUUGGGGCUAAUACCCUCGAGGAAGGACAUCACCCACAGAAGAAGCACCGGCUAACUCCGUGCCAGCAGCCGCGGUAAUACGGAGGGUGCGAGCGUUAAUCGGAAUUACUGGGCGUAAAGCGCGCGUAGGCGGUCUGAUAAGCCGGUUGUGAAAGCCCCGGGCUCAACCUGGGAACGGCAUCCGGAACUGUCAGGCUAGAGUGCAGGAGAGGAAGGUAGAAUUCCCGGUGUAGCAGUGAAAUGCGUAGAGAUCGGGAGGAAUACCAGUGGCGAAGGCGGCCUUCUGGACUGACACUGACGCUGAGGUGCGAAAGCGUGGGUAGCAAACAGGAUUAGAUACCCGUGUAGUC
RNAcentral lists this ribosomal RNA (465 nucleotides) under Vreelandella stevensii. Its description in RNAcentral is "partial 16S ribosomal RNA". It matches the Rfam family "Bacterial small subunit ribosomal RNA", at positions 338 to 795 of the family's 1533-position model. The record is from RNAcentral. Lineage: Bacteria; Pseudomonadati; Pseudomonadota; Gammaproteobacteria; Oceanospirillales; Halomonadaceae.